UACAGAGGGGGCGAGCGUUAUUCGGAAUUAUUGGGCGUAAAGGGCGCGUAGGCGGCUUUUCAAGUGCCGGGUGAAAUCCCUCGGCUUAACCGAGGAACUGCCUGUCAGACUGGAAGGCUUGAGACCGGGAGAGGUGAGUGGAAUUCCCAGUGUAGCGGUGAAAUGCGUAGAUAUUGGGAGGAACACCAGUGGCGAAGGCGGCUCACUGGACCGGAACUGACGCUGAGGCGCGAAAGCGUGGGGAGCAAACAGG
Molecule: ribosomal RNA, 253 nt
Filed under: uncultured bacterium
Lineage: Bacteria
Description: partial 16S ribosomal RNA
Rfam family: Bacterial small subunit ribosomal RNA
Source: RNAcentral